Mesocricetus auratus (golden hamster) is the source of this 81-nucleotide non-coding RNA. The record is from Rfam. Lineage: Eukaryota; Metazoa; Chordata; Mammalia; Rodentia; Cricetidae.
GGGAAUAUGGUAACAAUUGAAUGACUCUAAGUGAGGUGAUGACAGAAAAAAAUCAUAGUCAAUAACAUUACACCGAGUCCU